UACGAAGGGGGCUAGCGUUGCUCGGAAUCACUGGGCGUAAAGCGCACGUAGGCGGAUCGCUAAGUCAGGGGUGAAAUCCUGGAGCUCAACUCCAGAACUGCCUUUGAUACUGGCAAUCUCGAGUCCGGGAGAGGUGAGUGGAACUGCGAGUGUAGAGGUGAAAUUCGUAGAUAUUCGCAAGAACACCAGUGGCGAAGGCGGCUCACUGGCCCGAUACUGACGCUGAGGCACGAAAGCGUGGGGAGCAAACAGG
RNAcentral lists this ribosomal RNA (253 nucleotides) under uncultured bacterium. Its description in RNAcentral is "partial 16S ribosomal RNA". It matches the Rfam family "Bacterial small subunit ribosomal RNA", at positions 524 to 776 of the family's 1533-position model. The record is from RNAcentral.